Long non-coding RNA from Anolis carolinensis (green anole), 364 nucleotides. RefSeq lists it as uncharacterized. The transcript has 2 exons. The record is from RefSeq and is a predicted model, not a curated record. Lineage: Eukaryota; Metazoa; Chordata; Lepidosauria; Squamata; Anolidae.
UGCCCCAACCUUUAAUGAGUAUGAGGAGGUCUCUGGAAAUGAAGAGAGAAAUGACUGAAAUUAAAACAAAUUUUUUCAGCUUAAUUUGUACAUCCCGUCAUUCCCAGGAAACCAAGAUGAUGUUUCAGAGUUACAGAGACUACAACAGAUGAAAACAACCAAAAAAUCAGAAAAGUUGUCUUACGUAGAACUGAAAUGAAGCUACUCUUGUCAACCAAAAUCCAUAUUCCAAAGCCAAGGAUCACAGCACCCAAGAUCUGAAAAACAAGAUUUGGUUACUUUUGCUACAUACAGUUUUGAAUUUCAUAUCAUAUACUUGUUCAGCACUUUGGUAAAAAUAAAUAAAUGCUUUUUCUAUCUAUAA